CCCCUAGUAGGACGUCGCGACCCGUUGGGUGUCGGUCUACGGCCCGAAUCGUCGACUGUUGCGUUACGUACUCCGUGCACGUGACAGACGUUCGGUCGCCCGACCGGCUGCCCGGCGGUAUCGAAAGCUAACUUAAACUGGUAUAGAGCCGCAUUAAAUGCGUCCGACUCGUCGGCCGGCUCGUCUCGCUCGGAUUUACGGACUUUGUGCCGUUGUCGGGCGCUUGAUGGGC
This 232-nucleotide ribosomal RNA is filed under the name Cales sp. D3462. RNAcentral's name for it is "partial 28S ribosomal RNA". The record is from RNAcentral. Lineage: Eukaryota; Metazoa; Arthropoda; Insecta; Hymenoptera; Calesidae.